RNAcentral lists this ribosomal RNA (252 nucleotides) under uncultured bacterium. Its description in RNAcentral is "partial 16S ribosomal RNA". It matches the Rfam family "Bacterial small subunit ribosomal RNA", at positions 524 to 776 of the family's 1533-position model. The record is from RNAcentral.
UACGGAGGAUGCGAGCGUUACCCGGAUUUAUUGGGUUUAAAGGGUGCGUAGGCGGGAUGCCAAGUCAGCGGUAAAAAUGCGGUGCUCAACGCCGUCGAGCCGUUGAAACUGGCGUUCUUGAGUGGGCGAGAAGUAUGCGGAAUGCGUGGUGUAGCGGUGAAAUGCAUAGAUAUCACGCAGAACUCCGAUUGCGAAGGCAGCAUACCGGCGCCCUACUGACGCUGAGGCACGAAAGCGUGGGUAUCGAACAGG